GCUGGGUGCAUUGGCACAGACCUGUUAUCCCAGCAGCUUGGAGGCUGAGGCAGGAGGAUUGUGAGUUCAAAGCCAGCAUCAGCAACAGCAAGGCACUAAGCAAUGCAGUGAGACCCUGUCUCUA
RNAcentral lists this small RNA (124 nucleotides) under Marmota monax (woodchuck). Lineage: Eukaryota; Metazoa; Chordata; Mammalia; Rodentia; Sciuridae. The record is from RNAcentral.